CCCCCAGUAACUGCGAGUGAAGAGGGAAGAGCUCAUCAUUGGAAUCUGGCAGCGUCUCGCUGUCCGAGUUGUAGAUGAGAAGAGUGGGCCAUCUGGACUGCAUGGUGUCCAAGUACAAUAGGCCGUCAGUGGGACAUCAUAGAGGGUGACAAUCCCGUCCUUGACACCAAUGUACGAGUCCUUUUACGAUGCCUAUCUCGGAGAGUCGAGCAGUUUGGGAUUUGCUGCUUAAACAUGGGAGGUAGAUUCCUUCCAAAGCUAAAUACAGGCAAGAGACCGAUAGAGAACAAGUACCGCAAGGGAAAGAUGAAAUAGAACUCUGUGAAGGGAGUCAAAAGACGUGAAAUUGUUGCGAGAGAAGCGAUUCAAGUCAGCGUAGCUGGGCCCAUCAAGCCUCGCGCUUUGGACCAGCUUUGCCAGCGGUCUUGUCCUAGAGACUCGACUAAGGUGCCCUGCCCGGUCUGACGGGCAGACCUUCCCCCCUGGGGGAGGCCAGCGGCACGGCUGGUGGAAUGGCUUGCAAUCGACCCGUCUUGAAACACGGACCAAGGAGUCUAACAUGCAUGCGAGUAUAAGGGUGGCAAACCCGUAUGCGCAAAGAAAGUGAUAGCCUAUGGCUGUGAAUGACCUGAUGACCAGACAAGCGAUAUCAUGUCCCUCGUACGGUCAUUGCCCAAGUCCCGUGGUCAGAUCCCAUGGACAUGGAGUUGGAGCGUGCAUGCUAGGACCCGAAAGAUGGUGAACUAUGCCUGGACAAAGCGAAGCCAAAGGAAACUCUGGUGGAGGCUUGUAGCGAUUCUGACGUGCAAAUCGAUCGUCUGAUCUGGGUAUAGGGGCGAAAGACUAAUCGAACCAUCUCAUAGCUGGUUCCUGCCGAAGUUUCCCUCAGGA
This 891-nucleotide ribosomal RNA is filed under the name Cantharellus convexus. RNAcentral describes it as "Cantharellus sp. MZ-2022b partial large subunit ribosomal RNA". It matches the Rfam family "Eukaryotic large subunit ribosomal RNA", at positions 77 to 978 of the family's 3401-position model. Lineage: Eukaryota; Fungi; Basidiomycota; Agaricomycetes; Cantharellales; Hydnaceae. The record is from RNAcentral.